RNAcentral lists this ribosomal RNA (253 nucleotides) under uncultured bacterium. Its description in RNAcentral is "partial 16S ribosomal RNA". It matches the Rfam family "Bacterial small subunit ribosomal RNA", at positions 524 to 776 of the family's 1533-position model. The record is from RNAcentral.
UACAGAGGGUGCAAGCGUUAAUCGGAAUUACUGGGCGUAAAGGGCGCGUAGGUGGGAAGAUAAGUCAAAUGUGAAAGCCCCGGGCUUAACCUGGGAACUGCAUGUGAAACUGUUUUUCUAGAGUGAAGUAGAGGGUAGUGGAAUUUCCGGUGUAGCGGUGAAAUGCGUAGAUAUCGGAAGGAACACCAGUGGCGAAGGCGGCUACCUGGACUUUAACUGACACUGAGGCGCGAAAGCGUGGGGAGCGAACAGG